This 1075-nucleotide long non-coding RNA is filed under the name Cyanistes caeruleus (blue tit). RNAcentral describes it as "lncRNA (ENSCCEG00000010363.1)". The record is from RNAcentral. Lineage: Eukaryota; Metazoa; Chordata; Aves; Passeriformes; Paridae.
AUUUGAUGUGAUUUGUUAUUGAUGAACAGAGGUUAUCCCUUGCUCAAGUUCUUGUUUUCUAAGCACUUCAACUGAAGUUAAGCUGAUUAUUCUAUAAUUUCCUUCCCCCUUAUUCCCAUACCUGUAUUUUUCAAAGAUAGGCUUUGUAUUUGCCAGUCCUCUGUAACAUCAGUCAUCCCCUGUGAGUGACUGGAGACAAUUCCCUGUGAAUCUGAGUUGCUGAUGUCAUUGAGUUCUGGGGAAGUCUGGCAAGGUGUCUGCAUUGCCUCCAGCGGGGAAUAAUAUGAUAUUAAAAUGUAAGGCAUUGCAGAAUCUGCUUGUCUUCCCACUCUGUGUUGAGAGGACAAAACAAUUAAUUGAAAGAAAAUAAACCAGAACAAACCAUCUCUAGAGCUGCUUUUCUGAGACCAGCUCAGGGCUUGUUUACCUGCUAAUGGUGUUCUGCUGUGCUGUGGUUAUUAGUAAAGUUUUGACCUCAUGGCCUGAAAAAACAGAUGCUGCCUCUUUCCAAUUAUAAACGGGGUUUGAAAUAGUCUGCUGGAGUGGGAAGAGAAGGGCAGCCUCAAAUAGCACAGCCACUCACCCAGGCAGCCGGUGUCCAGCAUCACGGGCUGUUCGGAGGUGGGCCACGUGCUGUGCGUCAUGGUGGUGGGUGUCUUGGCCAAAGUCUGAUAUUCUUUCUUUGCUGAUUUUAGAUUUAAAUAUGGUUUCACUUCCCAAAACCACAAGCUGCCCUGCAGAAAGCUCUUCUGUAACCUGGUGUCAGGCAUUGGACGUGUAGGGUUUAAUUGUGGAGGAUCAGGCCUUUGGGAAGGUGCAGGCAGGUUUGGGUGUUAAUGUGCCCAAUGUGGGGACUCCAGGGGACUCUGGAUUUACUGAGGGAUCAAGAUAACCAAGAAGGUUUCAUGGCUUUAGUUUCUUUGAGGUCUCAGGCACUGCCUGGAGCGAAAUGGAUACAACUGCACAUCCUGGUUUGAGCUGGGAUCGCUUCACGGGAACCCUUGCAAGCGUUUCCCAGGAGGAGAGACGCCAGCAGGAGACCAGGAGUGCUUCUGAGGGCUGAGGAGGUGCAGGC